UCGUAACAAGGUUUCCGUAGGUGAACCUGCGGAAGGAUCAUUACCUAGAGUUGUAGGCUUUGCCUGCUAUCUCUUACCCAUGUCUUUUGAGUACCUUCGUUUCCUCGGCGGGUCCGCCCGCCGAUUGGACAAUUUAAACCAUUUGCAGUUGCAAUCAGCGUCUGAAAAAACUUAAUAGUUACAACUUUCAACAACGGAUCUCUUGGUUCUGGCAUCGAUGAAGUACGCAGCGAAAUGCGAUAAGUAGUGUGAAUUGCAGAAUUCAGUGAAUCAUCGAAUCUUUGAACGCACAUUGCGCCCCUUGGUAUUCCAUGGGGCAUGCCUGUUCGAGCGUCAUUUGUACCUUCAAGCUCUGCUUGGUGUUGGGUGUUUGUCUCGCCUCUGCGCGUAGACUCGCCUCAAAACAAUUGGCAGCCGGCGUAUUGAUUUCGGAGCGCAGUACAUCUCGCGCUUUGCACUCAUAACGACGACGUCCAAAAGUACAUUUUUACACUCUUGACCUCGGAUCAGGUAGGGAUACCCGCUGAACUUAAGCAUAUCA
RNAcentral lists this ribosomal RNA (541 nucleotides) under uncultured fungus. Its description in RNAcentral is "eukaryotic LSU rRNA". The stretch from base 183 to 336 matches the Rfam family "5.8S ribosomal RNA". Lineage: Eukaryota; Fungi. The record is from RNAcentral.